RNAcentral lists this transfer RNA (85 nucleotides) under Actinomycetota bacterium. Its description in RNAcentral is "tRNA-Leu". It matches the Rfam family "tRNA". From Rfam's summary of the family: Transfer RNA (tRNA) molecules are approximately 80 nucleotides in length. The record is from RNAcentral. RNAcentral also lists the same sequence under 1 other name. Lineage: Bacteria; Bacillati; Actinomycetota.
GCGCUCGUGGUGAAACUGGUAGACACGCAGGAUUUAGGUUCCUGUGCCUCCGGGUGUGCGGGUUCGAGUCCCGCCGAGCGCACCA